Molecule: long non-coding RNA, 878 nt
Organism: Carassius auratus (goldfish)
Lineage: Eukaryota; Metazoa; Chordata; Actinopteri; Cypriniformes; Cyprinidae
Exons: 3
Source: RefSeq, a predicted model, not a curated record
GUGAAAUAUUAUAAUAGUGUAUAAUACUUUAACACCAGCCCAAAAAAUUAUUUUGUAUAAUUAAAAUGCACUUAUGUGUAGACACACACAGAUUAUACCAAAUAAUUAUGCACAGCUGAAAAGAGUCACUGAGCCGAGCUGCCCACAGAAUGCUCUUCUGUCCUGCCAAGGCCCAGCUGCAGCCUUCACCUCUCCUGUAGCCCAAAUAGCUAAAUGGCUCUUUGCAUGGUCAUUUAUGAGUCACUUCUAUACUGUAAAACAAACAUCAACUGCCUCUGCCUCAUAAAGAGACAGGUGUUCCAAUCAGCUGUGUUCAAUCUGGUGAUGCCUGGGCUGAUUGGAUGAUAAUGGGAAGGAAUAGAAAUAUAAGAAGGGGUGGAUCUAUGGAGACAAUAGAGACUUAUUUUUCCCACCAGGGCUACUCUUCCUCCUGGUUGCUCAGAUUCGUUUGAUUUUUGUUUGAUAUAUUUUCAAGUGAACUCAGGACUUUGUUGUUUUCUUGAGCAGAAAGAUACUGAAGUUGUUUAAAACCAUUGAUUAUUUUUAUUGAUAGUGUUAACUAUGUGUUUUUUAUGUUUUUUAAGGAAAUGUAGGAGGAGGGUGCCAUUUUUGUUUGUACUUCUUUUGUCCUGUUUAUGGACAGACCGGAAGAGAGGAGGCUGGGUUGCCCUGGUUCCCUCUCCAAAAAAGGUUACUAGCUCCCAAACCCUAGACAGGAGUUCGUAACACCUCUGUCAAAACCGAUUGGAGCAUGACAUCACAGUACCGCGGCUCUGACGUGAUGACAGAGCUGCAGGUGCAGCUGGCGCUCUCUCUGGCAGCGGCAGGUCACAGCGCCACUUCCGGUGGCAUCGGCAGCUGCCACAAUGUUCCCACAA